GUCUACGCCCAUGCUACCCUGAACAAGCCCAAUUCCAUCUGAUCUUAGAAGCUAAGCAGGGCCAGGCCCGGUUAGUACUGGGAUGGUAGACCACCUAGGAAGACCAGGUGCUGUUGGCA
RNAcentral lists this ribosomal RNA (119 nucleotides) under Pteropus alecto (black flying fox). Lineage: Eukaryota; Metazoa; Chordata; Mammalia; Chiroptera; Pteropodidae. The record is from RNAcentral.